This 440-nucleotide ribosomal RNA is filed under the name uncultured bacterium. RNAcentral describes it as "partial 16S ribosomal RNA". It matches the Rfam family "Bacterial small subunit ribosomal RNA", at positions 338 to 795 of the family's 1533-position model. The record is from RNAcentral.
CCUACGGGAGGCAGCAGUAGGGAAUUUUGCUCAAUGGGGGAAACCCUGAAGCAGCAACGCCGCGUGGAGGAUGAAGGUUUUCGGAUUGUAAACUCCUUUUGUUAGAGAAGAUAAUGACGGUAUGUAACGAAUCAGCACCGGCUAAUUCCGUGCCAGCAGCCGCGGUAAUACGGAGGGUGCAAGCGUUCCUCGGAAUCACUGGGCGUAAAGUGCGCGUAGGCGGGAUAGCAAGUCAGAUGUGAAAUCCUAUGGCUUAACCAUAGAACUGCAUUUGAAACUGUUAUUCUAGAGUAUGGGAGAGGUAGGUGGAAUUCUUGGUGUAGGGGUAGAAUCCGUAGAGAUCAAGAGGAAUACUCAUUGCGAAGGCGACCUGCUAGAACAUAACUGACGCUGAUGCGCGAAAGCGUGGGGAGCAAACAGGAUUAGAUACCCUGGUAGUC